UGGGGAAUAUUGCGCAAUGGGCGAAAGCCUGACGCAGCGACGCCGCGUGGGUGAUGAAGGCCUUCGGGUCGUAAAGCCCUGUCGGGAGGGACGAAACCUCGGUGACAUAAUACGUCACCGACCUGACGGUACCUCUUAAGGAAGCACCGGCUAACUCCGUGCCAGCAGCCGCGGUAAUACGGAGGGUGCGAGCGUUGUUCGGAAUUACUGGGCGUAAAGCGCGUGCAGGCGGUCUCUUAAGUUUGGUGUGAAAGCCCGGGGCUCACGCCCGGAAGGGCACUGGAGGCUGGGAGGCUAGAGUACCGGAGAGGAAGGUGGAAUUCCUGGUGUAGCGGUGAAAUGCGUAGAUAUCAGGAGGAACACCUGUGACGAAGGCGGCCUUCUGGACGGCUACUGACGCUGAGACGCGAAAGCGUGGGGAGCAAACA
This 428-nucleotide ribosomal RNA is filed under the name uncultured bacterium. RNAcentral describes it as "bacterial SSU rRNA". It matches the Rfam family "Bacterial small subunit ribosomal RNA", at positions 355 to 774 of the family's 1533-position model. The record is from RNAcentral.